AUUGAACGCUGGCGGCAGGCCUAACACAUGCAAGUCGAGCGGAGCGGCGGACGGGUGAGUAAUGCCUAGGAAGCUGCCUGGCAGUGGGGGAUAACGUCCGGAAAGGGGCGCUAAUACAGCAUACUAUCAGAUGAGCCUAGGUCGGAUUAGCUAGUUGGUGGGGUAAAGGCCUACCAAGGCGACGAUCCGUAACAGGUCUGAGAGGAUGAUCAGGCACACUGGCACUGAGAGACGGUCCAGACUCCUACGGAAGGCAGCAGUGGGGAAUGUUGGACAAUGGGCGAAAUCCUGAUCCAGCCAUUCCGCGGGUGUGAAGAAGGUCUUCGGAUUGUAAAGCGCUUUAAGUUGGGAGGCGUUACCAACAGAAUAAGCACCGGCUAACUUCGUGCCAGCAGCCGCGGUAAUAC
Molecule: ribosomal RNA, 407 nt
Filed under: uncultured bacterium
Lineage: Bacteria
Description: partial 16S ribosomal RNA
Rfam family: Bacterial small subunit ribosomal RNA
Source: RNAcentral